Molecule: ribosomal RNA, 468 nt
Filed under: uncultured bacterium
Lineage: Bacteria
Description: partial 16S ribosomal RNA
Rfam family: Bacterial small subunit ribosomal RNA
Source: RNAcentral
GACGAACGCUGGCGGCGUGCUUAACACAUGCAAGUCGAACGGAAAGGCCCUGCUUUUGUGGGGUGCUCGAGUGGCGAACGGGUGAGUAACACGUGAGUAACCUGCCCUUGACUUUGGGAUAACUUCAGGAAACUGGGGCUAAUACCGGAUAGGAGCUCCUGCUGCAUGGUGGGGGUUGGAAAGUUUCGGCGGUUGGGGAUGGACUCUCGGCUUAUCAGCUUGUUGGUGGGGUAGUGGCUUACCAAGGCUUUGACGGGUAGCCGGCCUGAGAGGGUGACCGGCCACAUUGGGACUGAGAGACGGCCCAGACUCCUACGGGAGGCAGCAGUGGGGAAUAUUGCACAAUGGGCGGAAGCAUGAUGCAGCAACGCCGCGUGCGGGAUGAAGGCCUUCGGGUUGUAAACCGCUUUCGCCUGUGACGAAGCGUGAGUGACGGUAAUGGGUAAAGAAGCACCGGCUAACUACGUG